This 203-nucleotide long non-coding RNA is filed under the name Mytilus galloprovincialis (Mediterranean mussel). The record is from RNAcentral. Lineage: Eukaryota; Metazoa; Mollusca; Bivalvia; Mytilida; Mytilidae.
ACUAUUUUGAAAAUAAGUGAUCAGCACUGAUUUAUCCAACUUGUGCAAGACAUUGCUGAUAUAAAUAUAUGAGACAAGUUUCAUAAAAAUCUGUCAAGAAAACUAACUUGUGAGAAAGCUAACAAGACAAGACAGACAGUUAGACCAAUGGAUGGAUGACUGAUAUUUCAAUAUUCUCUCCAUUGCCUUACAUAGGGGACAAC